GAUGAACGCUAGCUACAGGCUUAACACAUGCAAGUCGAGGGGAAACGAUAUUGGAAGCUUGCUUCUGAUAGGCGUCGACCGGCGCACGGGUGAGUAACGCGUAUCCAACCUGCCCAUCACUUGGGGAUAACCUUGUGAAAGUAAGACUAAUACCCAAUGACGUCUCUAGAAGACAUCUGAAAGAGAUUAAAGAUUUAUCGGUGAUGGAUGGGGAUGCGUCUGAUUAGCUUGUUGGCGGGGUAACGGCCCACCAAGGCGACGAUCAGUAGGGGUUCUGAGAGGAAGGUCCCCCCACAUUGGAACUGAGACACGGUCCAAAACUCCUACGGGAGGCAGCAGUGAGGAAUAUUGGGUCAAUGGACGAGAGUCUGAACCAGCCAAGUAGCGUGCAGGAAGACGGCCCUAUGGGUUGUAAACUGCUUUUAUAAGGGAAUAAAGUGAGUCUCGGUGAGACUUUUUGCAUGUACCUUAUGAAUAAGGACCGGCUAAUUCCGUGCCAGCAG
Molecule: ribosomal RNA, 503 nt
Filed under: uncultured bacterium
Lineage: Bacteria
Description: bacterial SSU rRNA
Rfam family: Bacterial small subunit ribosomal RNA
Source: RNAcentral